This 604-nucleotide ribosomal RNA is filed under the name Sulabanus lineatus. RNAcentral's name for it is "partial 16S ribosomal RNA". It matches the Rfam family "Archaeal large subunit ribosomal RNA", at positions 1954 to 2790 of the family's 2987-position model. Lineage: Eukaryota; Metazoa; Arthropoda; Insecta; Coleoptera; Lycidae. The record is from RNAcentral.
CAUGUCUUUUUGAUUAUAAUUUAAAGUUUAAUCUGCUCAAUGAUAUUUUAAAUUGCCGCAGUAUUUUGACUGUGCAAAGGUAGCAUAAUAAUUUGUUUCUUAAUUAGGAACUGGAAUGAAUGAUUGGACAAGAAAAUUUCUGUCUCUCUUUUAAACUUUUUGAAUUUUAUUUUUAAGUGAAAAAGCUUAAAUUUAUAUAAAAGACGAGAAGACCCUAUAGAGUUUAAUAAAUUAAAUUAAUUGAAUUUUAGUAAUGUUUAUUAAAAUAAUUUAUUUAGUUGGGGUGAUUUGAAGAUUUAAAAAAUUCUUUUAUUAUUGAGUUAAUAAUUUUUAAUUUUUUUAUUUAAAGUUGUUAAAUUUAAAAUAAAUUACCUUAGGGAUAACAGCGUAAUUUUUCUUAAAAGUUCUUAUUGAAAGGAAAGUUUGCGACCUCGAUGUUGGAUUAAAAUUAAUUUUUGGUGCAGUAACUUAAAAAUUUGGUCUGUUCGACCUUUAAAAUUUUACAUGAUCUGAGUUUAAACCGGUGUAAACCAGGUUGGAUUCUAUCUUUAGAUAAUUAAGUAUAUUUUAGUACGAAAGGACCAAAUAUACAUUAGAUUAAUUG